This 1043-nucleotide ribosomal RNA is filed under the name Neobacillus pocheonensis. RNAcentral describes it as "bacterial SSU rRNA". It matches the Rfam family "Bacterial small subunit ribosomal RNA", at positions 284 to 1320 of the family's 1533-position model. Lineage: Bacteria; Bacillati; Bacillota; Bacilli; Caryophanales; Bacillaceae. The record is from RNAcentral.
UAGCCGACCUGAGAGGGUGAUCGGCCACACUGGGACUGAAACACGGCCCAGACUCCUACGGGAGGCAGCAGUAGGGAAUCUUCCGCAAUGGACGAAAGUCUGACGGAGCAACGCCGCGUGAGUGAUGAAGGUUUUCGGAUCGUAAAACUCUGUUGUUAGGGAAGAACAAGUACCGGAGUAACUGCCGGUACCUUGACGGUACCUAACCAGAAAGCCACGGCUAACUACGUGCCAGCAGCCGCGGUAAUACGUAGGUGGCAAGCGUUGUCCGGAAUUAUUGGGCGUAAAGCGCGCGCAGGCGGUUCUUUAAGUCUGAUGUGAAAGCCCACGGCUCAACCGUGGAGGGUCAUUGGAAACUGGGGAACUUGAGUGCAGAAGAGGAAAGUGGAAUUCCAGUGUAGCGGUGAAAUGCGUAGAGAUUUGGAGGAACACCAGUGGGGAAGGCGAUUUUCUGGUCUGUAACUGACGCUGAGGCGCGAAAGCGUGGGGAGCAAACAGGAUUAGAUACCCUGGUAUUGCACGCCGUAAACGAUGAGUGCUAAGUGUUAGAGGGUUUCUGCCCUUUAGUGCUGCAGCAAACGCAUUAAGCACUCCGCCUGGGGAGUACGACCGCAAGGUUUAAACUCAAAGGAAUUGACGGGGGCCCGCACAAGUGGUGGAGCAUGUGUUUUAAUUCGAAGCAACGCGAAGAUCCUUAACACGUCUUGACAUCCUCUGACAAUCCUAGAGAUAGGAUUUUCCCCUUCGGGGGACAGAGUGACAGGUGGUGCAUGGUUGUCGUCAGCUCGUGUCGUGAGAUGUUGGGUUAAGUCCCGCAACGAGCGCAACCCUUGAUCUUAGUCGCCGCAUUCAGUUGGGCACUCUAAGGUGACUGCCGGUGACAAACCGGAGGAAGGUGGGGAUGACGUCAAAUCAUCAUGCCCCUUAUGACCUGGGCUACACACGUGCUACAAUGGACGGUACAAAGGGCUGCAAGACCGCGAGGUUUAGCCAAUCCCAUAAAACCAUUCUCAGUUCGGAUUGUAGGUUGCAACUCGCCUACA